GAAUGCCUCAACACAGGUACGUGCACUGCUGAAGGCACCACUGUAGUUUUGGCUGAGAUGUGCUCUCUCAUCACAGGCAAUUUUCCUAUCACUUCUCCUGAAGAUACGCCUUUGCUGGCGUGUAAGGAAGCCUUCAGUGACUUGACUCACCACAAAGUCUAUUUAAUAAAAAGAAGGCCGUGCAUACUUGUGUGGCUCCAGUCCCGUGGACUGCUGUUGUCUUCAACUGCACAGGAAGCAGCAACACUUGGGGAACGUUAA
Molecule: long non-coding RNA, 261 nt
Filed under: Parus major (Great Tit)
Lineage: Eukaryota; Metazoa; Chordata; Aves; Passeriformes; Paridae
Description: lncRNA (ENSPMJG00000016123.1)
Source: RNAcentral